CUGGAGAAAGACAAGCAUACACUUAGCUUUGAACUUAUUAUACAAUAUAGAAAGGUGUGUAGAUGCUGAAUUUCUGAAGUACUAACCAGGAUAUAUUUUGGUCCUCUGGAGACAGAUGCUUCCAGAAACAACCUUCCCUACAGAAGUCCAGCCUGGCCUUGAACAUCUCCAGGGAUGGAGC
Calidris pugnax (ruff) is the source of this 181-nucleotide long non-coding RNA. RefSeq lists it as uncharacterized. The record is from RefSeq and is a predicted model, not a curated record. The transcript has 3 exons. NCBI's taxonomy places the organism in Eukaryota, Metazoa, Chordata, Aves, Charadriiformes, Scolopacidae.